GAGCUUGGCGGCAGCCUACACAUGCAGUCGAACGGUAGCACAGAGAGCUUGCUCUCGGGUGACGAGUGGCGGACGGGUGAGUAAUGUCUGGGAAACUGCCUGAUGGAGGGGGAUAACUACUGGAAACGGUAGCUAAUACCGCAUAACGUCGCAAGACCAAAGAGGGGGACCUUCGGGCCUCUUGCCAUCAGAUGUGCCCAGAUGGGAUUAGCUAGUAGGUGGGGUAACGGCUCACCUAGGCGACGAUCCCUAGCUGGUCUGAGAGGAUGACCAGCCACACUGGAACUGAGACACGGUCCAGACUCCUACGGGAGGCAGCAGUGGGGAAUAUUGCACAAUGGGCGCAAGCCUGAUGCAGCCAUGCCGCGUGUAUGAAGAAGGCCUUCGGGUUGUAAAGUACUUUCAGCGGGGAGGAAGGUGUUGAGGUUAAUAACCUUGUCGAUUGACGUUACCCGCAGAAGAAGCACCGGCUAACUCCGUGCCAGCAGCCGCGGUAAUACGGAGGGUGCAAGCGUUAAUCGGAAUUACUGGGCGUAAAGCGCACGCAGGCGGUCUGUCAAGUCGGAUGUGAAAUCCCCGGGCUCAACCUGGGAACUGCAUUCGAAACUGGCAGGCUAGAGUCUUGUAUAGGGGGGUAGAAUUCCACGUGUGGCGGUGAAUGCGUAGAGAUCUGGAGGAGACCGGUGGCGAAGCGGCCCCC
This 700-nucleotide ribosomal RNA is filed under the name Klebsiella oxytoca. RNAcentral describes it as "bacterial SSU rRNA". It matches the Rfam family "Bacterial small subunit ribosomal RNA", at positions 32 to 729 of the family's 1533-position model. The record is from RNAcentral. Lineage: Bacteria; Pseudomonadati; Pseudomonadota; Gammaproteobacteria; Enterobacterales; Enterobacteriaceae.